Molecule: ribosomal RNA, 492 nt
Filed under: uncultured bacterium
Lineage: Bacteria
Description: partial 16S ribosomal RNA
Rfam family: Bacterial small subunit ribosomal RNA
Source: RNAcentral
AGUGAACGCUGGCGGUAGGCCUAACACAUGCAAGUCGAACGGCAGCACAGUAAGAGCUUGCUCUUACGGGUGGCGAGUGGCGGACGGGUGAGGAAUACAUCGGAAUCUACUUUUUCGUGGGGGAUAACGUAGGGAAACUUACGCUAAUACCGCAUACGACCUACGGGUGAAAGCAGGGGAUCUUCGGACCUUGCGCGAUUGAAUGAGCCGAUGUCGGAUUAGCUAGUUGGCGGGGUAAAGGCCCACCAAGGCGACGAUCCGUAGCUGGUCUGAGAGGAUGAUCAGCCACACUGGAGCUGAGACACGGUCCAGACUCCUGAGAGAAGCAGCAGUGGGGAAUAUUGGACAAAGGGCGCAAGCCUGAUCCAGCCAUACCGCGUGGGUGAAGAAGGCCUUCGGGUAGUAAAGCCCUUUUGUUGGGAAAGAAAAGCAGCAGGUUAAUACCCCGCUGUUCUGACGGUACCCAAAGAAUAAGCACCGGCUAACUACGUG